Molecule: ribosomal RNA, 497 nt
Filed under: uncultured bacterium
Lineage: Bacteria
Description: partial 16S ribosomal RNA
Rfam family: Bacterial small subunit ribosomal RNA
Source: RNAcentral
GAUGAACGCUGGCGGCGUGCCUAAUACAUGCAAGUCGAGCGAACGGACGAGAAGCUUGCUUCUCUGAUGUUAGCGGCGGACGGGUGAGUAACACGUGGAUAACCUACCUAUAAGACUGGGAUAACUUCGGGAAACCGGAGCUAAUACCGGAUGAUAUUUUGAACCGCAUGGUUCAAAAGUGAAAGACGGUCUUGCUGUCACUUAUAGAUGGAUCCGCGCUGCAUUAGCUAGUUGGUAAGGUAACGGCUUACCAAGGCAACGAUGCAUAGCCGACCUGAGAGGGAGAUCGGCCACACUGGAACUGAGACACGGUCCAGACUCCUACGGGAGACAGCAGUAGGGAAUCUUCCGCAAUGGGCGAAAGCCUGACGGAGCAACGCCGCGUGAGUGAUGAAGGUCUUCGGAUCGUAAAACUCUGUUAUUAGGGAAGAACAUAUGUGUAAGUAACUGUGCACAUCUUGACGGUACCUAAUCAGAAAGCCACGGCUAACUACGUG